CAAAUUGCUUUAUGACUCCAAAAGUGAUAUCAAUAAUUAGAAAGACAUACCCUAGCAAGUAUAUCCGCAAAUAAACAGCAGAGUCCUUUAGAAGAUGGUCAAUAAGCUCAGGUUCAGGCAUUUUCGGUGCAUCUGGUAUCCAGUUCAGGAACCUUAUAUGCGCCCUCCAAUCAACAUUACUUAGUAAAAAAUUAUUAGUCAAAAUUAUGCAAUCAAUGGUAGUAGUGCUCUCCAACUCCUAUUAAAUUUUUGCUAUUUUUGUAGGAUCUUAUGGCCGAAAGUCAGAUGAAGUGUGUUUUACAAACUCCUAUCGAGAAAAGCGUAUCAGAAAGUGGAUCGUCCGUGUUUAAAGAUGGUAAUGCUUGCAAUGCAAAAAUAUCUCCUUUGAAGACGUAUGACAAGAGGAGUAGAUCCGCUAAUAAGGCAUCAGCAGUAGCCGGACCCAGAGUUACUAAUAUGUGAAAAUGGGAAGACUUAAUGGCAGACGGAAUGGAGGUUUGAUUAUCAAUGGUUCUCCCAACGACAAAACUCUAUUGUAAAUGUUGCUCGAGGGUAUGGAGCUACUAUUUGGAUUUUUCAACAUAACAAUGAGUUUUUGCAACUUGGGAUAUGUCCUUUUAGUCAUAACAUGUUUAUAGAGUGAGUUCAUCUUAUUUCGUAUUAAUGCUUUGUUUAGCCCUAACUUCUGUACGAUUUUUUAAUUGGUGAAGGUUUUGAAAAAACAUAUUUACGAGGGACAAUCCAGUCCACACA
This is a non-coding RNA of Nicotiana tabacum (common tobacco), 753 nucleotides long. The record is from RefSeq and is a predicted model, not a curated record. NCBI's taxonomy places the organism in Eukaryota, Viridiplantae, Streptophyta, Magnoliopsida, Solanales, Solanaceae.